AUUCCUUAUGUGCAGAAUGAGUUGUUGUAUGCUGAGAUUGAAUACAUGCAAAAAAGGGGGAUGGAGUUGCAAAAUGAUAAUAUGUGCUUAAGGAACAAGAUAGCUAAAAAUGAGAGAGCCCAGCAGCAAAUGAACAUGUUACCUGCAACAACCUCGAAUGAAUAUGAAGGCAUGCCCUAAUUCGAUUCACGAAACUUUCUCCAAGUGAACUUGCUUGAUCCCAAUCACCACUACUCUCACCAGCAGCAGACUGCUCUCUAACUAGGGUGAUGAGAGGUCACGAAGAAUGACUGAGGUGCUGCUUUUACCCUAGCCUGGACAUGUAGAGUUUUAGUACAUGACGACAGAUUCUACUUCGUC
Molecule: long non-coding RNA, 360 nt
Organism: Asparagus officinalis (garden asparagus)
Lineage: Eukaryota; Viridiplantae; Streptophyta; Magnoliopsida; Asparagales; Asparagaceae
Exons: 4
Source: RefSeq, a predicted model, not a curated record